This is an RNA transcript of Myotis lucifugus (little brown bat), 4857 nucleotides long. It is a transcript of the gene named ATPase 13A5, with no coding region annotated. Lineage: Eukaryota; Metazoa; Chordata; Mammalia; Chiroptera; Vespertilionidae. The transcript is spliced from 29 exons. The record is from RefSeq and is a predicted model, not a curated record.
CAAGUAAGUACUAGGAAGAAAAAAAACUCCACAACAAGCAAAGAGAUUAACAGAUUAAUCCUAUGGUUGAGGAGAGUAUUUUUUUUUUCCUUUCCUUUGUUAAGGUAAUAGGUGAGGUAUGUGCUAAGGGAUAUUAAGCACCUGAGAACAACAGUAGUGACUGUUCGGGAGUUCACAUAAGCCUCUGUAGGUUUCACAUUUCCCCAGGGAAUUAGCCAGGAGAUCCAGUUUAGAUGGAGGAGAAGGACCAUCGGGCUUUGCUUAACCAAGGAGAGGAGAAUGAACUGGAGGUGUUUGGUUACCAGACCCAGACUCUUCGCAGAGCCGUCUGCCUUGCAGCAUCGGUGCUGACGUGUGGGGUCCUUCUGCUGGUGUUCUACUGGAGGCCCCAGUGGAGAGUGUGGGCCACUUGCAUCCCGUGCCCCUUGCAAGAAGCAGAUACUGUUCUGCUAAGGACAACUGAUGAAUUUCAAAGAUAUAUCAGGAAGAAAGUGAUCUACCUCUACUUAUCCACACUGAAGUUUCCUAUAAGCAAGAACCCGGAAGAGCCCCUUGUAGCUGACCGCCACUCUGUCAUAAACCAUGCCAUAUUGAAACCAGAAUUAAAACUACGAUGUAUCCAAGUGCAGAAAAUUAGGUAUGUUUGGGACAACUUGGAGAAGAGAUUUCAGAAAGUGGGGUUGCUGGAAGACAGCCACUCCUGCUAUGACAUCCAUCAUAUGUUCGGCCUGGGUCUGACCCAUGAAGAGCGGGAGGUCAGGAGACUUGUGUGUGGGCCCAAUGCCAUUGAGGUGGAAAUUCAACCCAUAUGGAAGCUGCUUAUUAAACAGGUUUUAAAUCCAUUUUAUGUGUUCCAAGCCUUUACCUUGACUUUGUGGAUGUCUCAAGGUUACAUAGAAUACUCUGUCGCCAUCAUCAUCUUGUCUGUUAUCUCCAUUGUCUUAACUGUGUAUGAUUUGCGACAGCAAUCAGUUAAGCUGCACAACCUUGUGGAGGAUCACAACAAAGUCCAGGUUACAAUCACCGUAAAAGGCAAAGGUGAGCAGGAGCUGGAAUCCCGCCUCUUGGUUCCUGGAGAUGCCCUCAUUCUACCAGGAAAAUGCUCAUUGCCAUGUGAUGCUCUUCUGAUUGACGGGAGCUGUGUGGUGAACGAAGGCAUGCUCACAGGAGAAAGUAUACCCGUUACAAAGACGCCAUUGCCCCAUAUGGAGAAUACCAUGCCCUGGAAAUCCCACAGAUCAGAGGACUAUCGGAAACAUGUUCUUUUCUGUGGCACAGAAGUGAUCCAGGUCAAGCCCACUGGGCAGGGGCCAGUAAGAGCAGUUGUUUUGCGAACAGGUUACAAUACAGCCAAAGGGGACUUGGUGAGAUCCAUCCUUUACCCCCGGCCUCUGAACUUCAAACUCUACAGUGAUGCCUUCAAGUUCAUAGUGUUCCUGGCCUGUAUUGGACUUGUGGGUUUUUUCUAUGCCCUUGGUGUGUAUAUGUAUCACAGAGUCUCACCAAGACAUACCGUAGCCAUGGCCCUGCUCCUCUUCACCGGAACUGUCCCUCCAGUGCUGCCAGCUGCCCUGACCACAGGCAUCAUGUAUGCACAAAAGAGGCUGAAGAAAAAGAAAAUCUACUGUAUCUCCCCACAGAGAAUCAAUAUGUGCGGACAAAUAAACCUCGUGUGCUUUGACAAAACUGGCACUCUUACAGAGGAUGGGCUGGACCUCUGGGGAACUGUCCCCACUGCUGACAACUGUUUCCAGGAAGUCCACAGCUUUGCCUCAGGCAGGGCUCUGCCCUGGGGCCCACUGUGUGCCGCCAUGGCCAGCUGCCACUCUCUGAUCCUCCUGGAUGGGACCAUCCAGGGAGACCCUCUGGACCUCAAGAUGUUUGAGGGCACCAACUGGAUAAUGGAAGAUUGCAAUGUAGACGACUGCAAAUUUAGGACGUCAGACUCAAACAUAAUAAUAAAACCAGGACCGAAAGCCAGUCGGAGUCCUGUGGAAGCUAUCACCAUCUUGAGCCAGUUUCCAUUCUCGUCAAGCCUGCAGAGGAUGUCUGUGGUCGCUGGGCUAGCAGGCGAGGAUCACUUCCACGUCUACAUGAAGGGCGCCCCUGAGAUGUUGGCCAAGUUCUGCAGAUCUGAAACAGUGCCCAGGAACUUCCCACAGGAACUGAGGAAUUACACAAUGCAAGGCUUCCGUGUCAUUGCCCUUGCCCAUAAAACCUUGAGCCUGGGGAAGCUUUCAGAAGUGGACAGUUUAUCCAGAGAGAAGGUGGAGUCAGAGUUAACAUUUCUGGGACUUCUUAUAAUGGCGAAUCGCUUGAAAAAGGAAACCAAACCCGUCUUGAAGGAACUGAGAGAGGCCUGCAUCAGGACUGUGAUGAUUACCGGUGACAAUCUGCAAACAGCCAUUACUGUUGCAAAAAACUCCGAAAUGAUUCCUCAAGGGAACCAAGUGAUCCUCGUUGAGGCCAAUGAACCAGAAGAGUUUGUUCCUGCUUCUGUGACCUGGCAGCUGGUUGAAAACCAAGAGAAUGGACCUGGGAAGAAUGAAACCUACAUUAACAUUGGAAACAGUUCAGUGCUUCCUGAAGAACAAGGGAACUGUUAUCACUUUGCAAUGAGUGGGAAAUCAUACCAAGUGCUAUUUCAGCAUUUCAACAGCUUGCUUCCAAAAAUUCUGGUGAAUGGAACCAUUUUUGCAAGAAUGUCUCCUGGGCAAAAAUCAAGCCUUGUUGAAGAAUUUCAGAAAUUAAAUUAUUAUGUGGGCAUGUGUGGAGAUGGAGCCAAUGACUGUGGGGCUUUGAAAAUGGCUCAUGCGGGUAUUUCCUUGUCAGAGCAGGAGGCAUCUGUAGCCUCACCUUUCACCUCAAAAACAGCCAACAUCGAGUGUGUGCCUCAUCUCAUCAAAGAAGGCCGUGCUGCUCUGGUUUCAUCCUUUGGGGUAUUUAAAUACUUGACCAUGUACGGAAUAAUCCAGUUUAUUGGUACAUCACUGCUCUUUUGGCAACUGCAACUCUUUGGGAAUUACCAGUAUAUCGUGCAAGAUAUACCCAUUACCUUGAUGGUGUGUUUAACAAUGAGUUCAACUCAUGCCUACCCAAAGCUGGCUCCAUACCGACCAGCAGGACAGCUCCUCUCUCCCCCUUUGCUGCUCUCAGUCUUGUUGAAUACCUGUUUCACCUGCAUUGUGCAGAUCUGUGCAUUUCUCUUUGUGAAGCAGCAGCCCUGGUACUGUGAGGUCUACAGAUACAGAUGUAUUCUCAUUUCUGCUGAUAACUGCCUUGGGCCUCAUAGUUUUCAUCAUGUUUUCUGAUUUUCAAGCUAUAUACCGAAGAAUGGAGUUAAUCCCAACCACAACAUCAUGGAGGGUUUCAAUUUUGGUGGCAGCCCUCAUCCAGUUCUGCGUGGCCUUAUUUGUAGAGUUGUAAGAGAGAAACAAGAAUUGACAUUUACUUAGAAAAUUCAGCUCUAACCAUGGUGACCUGGAGCUGUGUGGCAGUGGAGAAUGAUGGAGGUGUCUGUUUAUCGCAUAUAAUCUUGGCUUGGGCACAGCUUUUAAGCAAACUCCACCAAAGACGGCAUUUCCCAAAACAUAUUGUUUUGGGGCCAAUGAGCUAUGUCCAGAGUCGAUCACAAAGGUAAUGAAAUAAACGGUUAAAAUGUACUUUUACAUUAAAGAAGCACUGCACCUCUAUUUACUCUUCAUUACUGACAGGUGAAAUCCUUACAUUUUUGUUGUUUUUUUAACUCUAAAAGUUGGCCCGAAGUCCGUAUUACUCAUUUUAAAACACAAUCCUAGGGGAGGGAUGGACCCAUAAUGUUUGUAUCUACACCAUGGCAAUUUUCAGGCUACUAAACAAUCUUACAUUUCAUUUCACUUUUCAUUAUCUAAAUCAAUGCACAUUAACAGCUACAAGAAGAGGUCCAUCCUUUACAAAUAUAUUGUGUACACUAUUCUCUUUAGUACAUAUCAACUCCACUGUGACCUGAGAGGACAUUUAUUUCUAGUGAACAUUGUGUAUUAUCUACUAGGCAUUAUUUGUAACAAUAAAUCGAAUUUUGCUAACUUAACAGAACUUCAACAGUUCAUAGGCAAUUAGGUAACCAUCCCAUUCCAUGAGUGCCAAUUAUGUGUCAAACACUGAUGUAUGCUUUCAAUAAUAUAUUUACAAUUCUGAAACCUUUAGAAGUGAAAAACAAUUUUUACAUUUCAUCAAUUUGUUUCUGUAAAUAGGACUAAAGGCUUUGUUACACAAACCAACAGCAUUAAUGCAAAUUUUUAUAAAAACAACCCUUUAUAUUUACAUUUUAUUUGCAAAACCUUGUUUUUACUUUGGUGCACAGCUCUUGGAAAAUGAUAAUUUUCAAAAUGUGUCUUAUUUAGUGUCUACUAAUAAGUGAUAAGAAGAUAAAAUAUAUUUAUCUUAUGGUUAAAAUUGUAUGUCAACAUAAAAAAUAUGUAACUCGGGCAUUUAAUAAUUUGACCAUUAGCACAGGAGGAUUCAACUUAUACCCUAUGACAGCGUAAACAGGUUUCUUAAAAUCUUGAUUUAAUAAAUGUACACCUCUUUUUUUUGCCCCAGUUUUUCCAACAACCUUUUUGGUAUCUGAUAGGUGAUCAUUUUAUUUCACAGAUUUCUUUGGAAGUGGAAUAUGUUAAAGUUGAAGUCUAUACUUAACUUUGCUAAAUAUAUGCUCAGAGAAAGGUUUAAUAGUCUUGGGGAAAAGCUUUGAAAAAAGCACGAGCAUGGCCAUAUAUCAAAUGAUCACCUAUUGCAGCGAUUUUCAACCUUUUUCAUCUCGUGGCACACAUAAACUGAUUGCUAAAAUUCUGUGGCAACCAAAAAAUAUAUGUUUUC